UACAGGGGGAUAACUAUUGGAAACGAUAGAUAAGACCGCAUAGGUGUGAUAACCGCAUGGAGAUGACAUGAAAUAUGCUACGGAUAGGUAGAGGAUGGACUUAUGGCGCAUUAGCUAGUUGGAGGGGUAAACGGCCCACUAAGGCGACGAUGCGUAGCCGACCUGAGAGGGUGACCGGCCACACUGGGACUGAGACACGGCCUAGACUC
Molecule: ribosomal RNA, 209 nt
Filed under: uncultured bacterium
Lineage: Bacteria
Description: partial 16S ribosomal RNA
Rfam family: Bacterial small subunit ribosomal RNA
Source: RNAcentral